CAGCCGCCGCGGUAAUACCGGCGGCCCGAGUGGCGGUCACUAUUAUUGGGCUUAAAGCGUCCGUAGCCGGGUUGGGAAGUCCUCCGGGAAAUCUGGCCGCUUAAAGGUCAGAAUGCCGGAGGAUACUCCCAGCCUAGGGAGCGGGCGAGGCCGAGGGGAUUCCCGGAGUAGGGGGGAAAUCCUAUAAUCCCGGGAGGACCACCUGUGGCGAAGGCGCUCGGCUGGAACGCGUCCGACGGUGAGGGACGAAGGCCAGGGGAGCAAACCGGAUUAGAUACCCGGGUAGUCCUGGCUGUAAACGAUGCGGACUUUGUGUCGGACAAGCUAUGAGCUUGUCCGGUGCCGGAGGGAAACCGUUAAGUCCGCCGCCUGGGGAGUACGGCCGCAAGGCUGAAACUUAAAGGAAUUGGCGGG
RNAcentral lists this ribosomal RNA (414 nucleotides) under uncultured microorganism. Its description in RNAcentral is "bacterial SSU rRNA". It matches the Rfam family "Archaeal small subunit ribosomal RNA", at positions 459 to 872 of the family's 1478-position model. The record is from RNAcentral.